RNAcentral lists this long non-coding RNA (515 nucleotides) under Homo sapiens (human). RNAcentral's name for it is "non-protein coding lnc-LCAT-2:2". The record is from RNAcentral. Lineage: Eukaryota; Metazoa; Chordata; Mammalia; Primates; Hominidae.
UCUCUGUGGUCAGGGUAGCCCUGUGGCUGACGCUGCAGUCAUUGGGCUGAAGCUGUUCCCUGAGUCCCCAAAGUUGCCCUGCAUCUGCGCCUCUGGCUAGGCUGCCCCAAACUACCUGGGGUAGUGGGGGGCAGCUGUGGUGGUGACACAGCUACCCCUGCAGAAAACCUGUGGAGCGCCUACCUGGAGAAGGGUGACAUCGUGGAGAAGCAUGGGCUGCCCUCCGCAGAUGCCCCGAGCCUGAAGGAGAGCCUGCCUCUGUACGUGGUCGCUGACAUCGCCACAUCCUUCACCGUGCUGGUCGGCAUCUUCUUCCCUUCUGUAACAGGUAUGGCGAUGGUGUCAGCAGGAACUUGGUGGUGGGCACACUGGCCUGGCCUUCACCCUGGGUCAUCGUCAUCGGCUCCUUCUUUUCAACGUGUGGCGCUGGCCUCCAGAGCCUCACAGGGGCACCACGCCUAUUGCAGGCCAUUGCCAAGGACAACAUCAUCCCCUUCCUCCGGGUGUUUGGCCAC